ACAACAGUUCUUUCUAUCGCUUCCGCAUAAAGCGGGGGAGGAAAGUCGGGACAACACAGAGCGCCAUACUUCCUAACGGGAAGGCUUCCAGGAUCCUGAAAAGGCCAGGAAGACAGACAGGGCCACAGAAAAUUACCGCCCCGUGUAUUCGGGGUAAGGGUGAAAACGCGAGGUAAGAGCUCACGGAUCUGCCUGGUGACAGGCAGAUGGGGUAAACCUUAUGGGUUGAAAGACCAAGCAUACCGGUUGUCAAGGGUUGCUCGUCCAAUGCCGGGGGGUAGGUCGCUUAAGCCGACUGGUGACAGGCGGCUCAGAUAAAUGAUAGAAUAGUACAGAAUCCUGCUUAUAGAACUGUUGUUUUU
This 362-nucleotide RNase P RNA is filed under the name Bacteroidota bacterium. RNAcentral describes it as "RNase P RNA component class A". It matches the Rfam family "Bacterial RNase P class A". From Rfam's summary of the family: Ribonuclease P (RNase P) is a ubiquitous endoribonuclease, found in archaea, bacteria and eukarya as well as chloroplasts and mitochondria. Its best characterised activity is the generation of mature 5'-ends of tRNAs by cleaving the 5'-leader elements of precursor-tRNAs. The record is from RNAcentral. Lineage: Bacteria; Pseudomonadati; Bacteroidota.